GCUCCGGUGGCGAAACUGGCAAACGCUGCGGACUUAAAAUCCGCUGGGAUAUUUUCCCUUGUGGGUUCGAUCCCCACCCGGAGCA
RNAcentral lists this transfer RNA (85 nucleotides) under Gemmatimonadales bacterium. Its description in RNAcentral is "tRNA-Leu". It matches the Rfam family "tRNA". From Rfam's summary of the family: Transfer RNA (tRNA) molecules are approximately 80 nucleotides in length. Their secondary structure includes four short double-helical elements and three loops (D, anti-codon, and T loops). Lineage: Bacteria; Pseudomonadati; Gemmatimonadota; Gemmatimonadia; Gemmatimonadales. The record is from RNAcentral.